This 159-nucleotide small nucleolar RNA is filed under the name Vigna radiata var. radiata (mung bean). RNAcentral's name for it is "Small nucleolar RNA snoR2/U65". It matches the Rfam family "Small nucleolar RNA snoR2/U65". The record is from Rfam by way of RNAcentral. Lineage: Eukaryota; Viridiplantae; Streptophyta; Magnoliopsida; Fabales; Fabaceae.
GGUCUGAUGACACAUUUAUGAUAGCUUGAAUUAAGCGGUGACCAGUGAUGCUAUGAUUGGACCAAAAUCAAAAGUGAAUUUCAUUUGUUUCGCAUUUUGAUAGGAAUCUAUGAAUUUCAUACUUUAUGAUCUGUGGAGCCGUUUUGUGCGAUUACAUUU